Molecule: long non-coding RNA, 652 nt
Organism: Bombus terrestris (buff-tailed bumblebee)
Lineage: Eukaryota; Metazoa; Arthropoda; Insecta; Hymenoptera; Apidae
Exons: 2
Source: RefSeq, a predicted model, not a curated record
CUUUCGUCGAAGUUGCCGGAUACCGCGUAAAUGUUUCACUGCUUUAGACGUUUCCGAGCAGGAAGUAGGUGUUGAAGAUUUAGUUUCCAGCGGCGUGGACGAGAGGAAAAGGAUUUUUAAGUACUCCAGCCAUCGACGGAAACCCGCAGGAAAGUGGAAAUCGACCGUGGGGGAUCAGACAAUUUCCUUUCCCGUCGAAGUAACGCCCACUCUUGGCUUCUUCGUUUCUCUCUUUCUAACCGACGAAACUUGCGAGUUUACUUUAAGAACCGGCCCCGGCUUUCGUACUUAAGCACGAUACCGGCUCAAGAAGUUGACAGAGAACUGUUUUCCUCUUAUUUUGUAUCGGGAACGAGCGAUCCGAUGAAUCUGCAAUUUUAUAAGCUUCUCGGUGUCUUCCUGUUGUUGCUGCACGAGCUGGCAAUUAUUGCAACAUGGUGUCUAACGUAAGUCAUAGCUGUACCUGGAAAGGAAAGAAUUUUUCACAAUGAAGAAUAACGUAGCUGCUGCUGCAUUUGUGCGCCAUAUAUGUAUUUAACAGAACAUGGUUGGGCAAAUAUACCAUUGCAUUCUGUUUCUGAUUACACCAAGGACAGAAGCAAGGACAAUAUGCAAGAAAAGAGAUUUUUAAUAAAGCCGGAUCUUAUACGAG